CUUCAACGAGGAAUGCCUAGUAAGCGCGAGUCAUCAGCUCGCGUUGACUACGUCCCCGCCCCUUUCACC
Molecule: non-coding RNA, 69 nt
Organism: Hordeum vulgare subsp. vulgare (domesticated barley)
Lineage: Eukaryota; Viridiplantae; Streptophyta; Magnoliopsida; Poales; Poaceae
Source: Rfam